RNAcentral lists this long non-coding RNA (233 nucleotides) under Capsicum annuum. Its description in RNAcentral is "long non-coding RNA (CANN_LNC022124)". The record is from RNAcentral. Lineage: Eukaryota; Viridiplantae; Streptophyta; Magnoliopsida; Solanales; Solanaceae.
UCCAAGACCAAACCCUCGUAACUACUCAAACACAAUUAUAAUCGCAAUAACAAACUCCCCACUACCUGUUCAACACAAUUCCUCAUCAUCUUCGAAUGCUAAUUAUACUACUAGUUUGAAUACUUGAAACUAAUUUCUUGUACCACCUUGACCUUAUACGUUUGGCCUUCCCAAAAUAAGUUGCGAUCAACGUUAACUCCCAUAUUAAUGGCCUUUCCCUCCAAGACCGCCCC